RNAcentral lists this ribosomal RNA (387 nucleotides) under uncultured bacterium. RNAcentral describes it as "bacterial SSU rRNA". It matches the Rfam family "Bacterial small subunit ribosomal RNA", at positions 29 to 416 of the family's 1533-position model. The record is from RNAcentral.
AUUGAACGCUGGCGGAAUGCUUUACACAUGCAAGUCGAGCGGCAGCGCGGGGGCAACCCUGGCGGCGAGCGGCGAACGGGUGAGUAACAUAUCGGAACGUACCCAGUAAUGGGGGAUAACUACCCGAAAGGGUAGCUAAUACCGCAUACGCCCUGAGGGGGAAAGCGGGGGAUCGAAAGACCUCGCGUUAUUGGAGCGGCCGAUAUCGGAUUAGCUAGUUGGUGGGGUAAAGCUCACCAAGGCGACGAUCCGUAGCGGGUCUGAGAGGACGACCCGCCACACUGGAACUGAGACACGGUCCAGACUCCUACGGGAGGCAGCAGUGGGGAAUUUUGGACAAUGGGGGGCAACCCUGAUCCAGCCAUUCCGCGUGAGUGAACGAAGGCC